Molecule: ribosomal RNA, 431 nt
Filed under: uncultured bacterium
Lineage: Bacteria
Description: bacterial SSU rRNA
Rfam family: Bacterial small subunit ribosomal RNA
Source: RNAcentral
AAUGAACGUUGGCGGCGUGGAUUAGGCAUGCAAGUCGAGCGCGAUAUGUAGCAAUACAUGGAGAGCGGCGAAAGGGAGAGUAAUACGUAGGUAUCUACCCUCGGGUCUGGGAUAGCAGCGGGAAACUGCUGGUAAUACCAGAUAACGUCUCCGGACCAAAGGUGUGAUUCCACCUGAGGAGGAGCCUACGGCCUAUUAGCUAGUUGGUAGGGUAACGGCCUACCAAGGCAAAGAUGGGUAUGGGGUGUGAGAGCAUGCCCCCACUCACUGGGACUGAGACACUGCCCAGACACCUACGGGUGGCUGCAGUCGAGAAUCUUCGGCAAUGGGCGAAAGCCUGACCGAGCGACGCCGCGUGCGGGAUGAAGGCCUUCGGGUUGUAAACCGCUGUCGUAGUGGAGGAAGUAUACGAGAGUUAUCUCUUGUAUUUG